GCCAGGUGUGGUGGUGCGCACCUGUAAUCCCAGCUACUUGGGAGGCUGAGGCAGGAGAAUCACUUGAACCCAGGAGGUGGAGGUUGCAGUGGGCCAAGAUCCCGCCAUUGCACUCCACCCUGGGCAACAGAGCAAGACUCUGUCUCAA
RNAcentral lists this non-coding RNA (148 nucleotides) under Cercocebus atys (sooty mangabey). RNAcentral also lists the same sequence under 1 other name. The record is from Rfam by way of RNAcentral. Lineage: Eukaryota; Metazoa; Chordata; Mammalia; Primates; Cercopithecidae.